AACGAACGCUGGCGGCAUGCCUAACACAUGCAAGUCGAACGAACCCUUCGGGGUUAGUGGCGCACGGGUGCGUAACGCGUGGGAAUCUGCCCUUUGCUUCGGAAUAACUCAGGGAAACUUGUGCUAAUACCGGAUGAUGUCUUCGGACCAAAGAUUUAUCGGCAAGGGAUGAGCCCGCGUAGGAUUAGGUAGUUGGUGGGGUAAAGGCCUACCAAGCCGACGAUCCUUAGCUGGUCUGAGAGGAUGAUCAGCCACACUGGGACUGAGACACGGCCCAGACUCCUACGGGAGGCAGCAGUGGGGAAUAUUGGACAAUGGGCGAAAGCCUGAUCCAGCAAUGCCGCGUGAGUGAUG
Molecule: ribosomal RNA, 354 nt
Filed under: uncultured bacterium
Lineage: Bacteria
Description: bacterial SSU rRNA
Rfam family: Bacterial small subunit ribosomal RNA
Source: RNAcentral